Molecule: long non-coding RNA, 300 nt
Filed under: Hordeum vulgare
Lineage: Eukaryota; Viridiplantae; Streptophyta; Magnoliopsida; Poales; Poaceae
Description: long non-coding RNA (HVUL_LNC006011)
Source: RNAcentral
GGGGAUUUGUUUGUUUUAUAUUCUCAGCGAAUAGCGCGCGAAAUAGGAGCUCCAGAAUUUUUGUGCCACUGGCUUAUUCUGCCCUACCAAUUUUGAAUGUGAAAUAGUGAUUGCGUUGUAUUAGGUCAAAGACUGUCCAAAAAUAUAAGGCGGAGGUUCCAAAAAUAAAUAAAACUGUCCGCUUCUGCUAACAGUAUCCUUCUCAGGUCUAAGACUGAGCAAUUAGGUCAAUGUAUUUACGUAACGGCAGUCAGUACAGAUGUGCUCGUCAGGCUGCAUGUGUGUUUAUGCCAGAAUAUA